Long non-coding RNA from Myotis myotis, 1450 nucleotides. RefSeq lists it as uncharacterized. NCBI's taxonomy places the organism in Eukaryota, Metazoa, Chordata, Mammalia, Chiroptera, Vespertilionidae. The transcript has 3 exons. The record is from RefSeq and is a predicted model, not a curated record.
GUCUCCGAGCCUCAGCCUCAGGCCCGACGGAGACGAGAGGGGCGGGGCGAGAGAGGGCGAGGCCGCGGGCGCGCUCCCUGCGGCCGCCUGAUAGGGUGCGCGGCGGCACGAGCACGCCCCGCGCGGGUGGCGCUGCGUAGUAACUGCGCAGGCGCGGUCGGCUGGCGUAGCCCCUUCACCCCCUUCUCCCUCCCGGGCUCGCCCUGCCCGCUGCGAGGAGGAUGCCCCGGGCUGUGUGUCACCGGGUGUCGAGCUGCUUUUGGCGCGGCGGCCGGCUUGGUGGCCCUGGGUUCCUGUGUAGCUGAACCUCGUAAACGCGGCGCCUCGGUCAUUUAAUACUUGGCUGACACGCAGCGCAUCCUGGCGUGCCCUCCGUGGUGGGCUAGUCGUGACAGGGGGAACGUUAAAGCUACAUCCCGUUUGACUUAAGGAGCAGGAGUUGGCGUUCGAGAGCUUUGACAUGGAAAAGCUGGCCACGCUGCUCUGGCUGGCAUGAUGUCAUCCUCCAGGGCGAGGCGUGGAAGGCUGAGGGACACCCGGGCGCCGGGAGAACCCGCCCACCACGUGGAACCUUCGGCGCGGUGCUGUCCAUGGAGAACCCGCUCCGGGCCUGGGCGUCCACUUAGAAUACGGAGAGCCCAAGGGCGCUGUACCGAGCAGGCAGGUCCCCUCCCUCCCGCCAAAAUCGAGCCGCCGGUGUCCAAAACUGGAGCAUAGCGAAGCCAACCCCAACCCCACACGGUCUCUUCUUGCACUUUCUUUCCAUACGCCUUACAUCCUUCCUCUCUCCCAUCAGUCUUAUUUAUAACGACUACCCUUUACUCUUCCUCCUUUCUGUAAUUUAAAUAUUCAUGCUCCAGCCCAGGCCGGCGUGGCUCAGUGGUUGGGCCUGGACCUAUGAACCAGGAGGUCAGGGUUGGAUUCCUGGUCAGGGCACAUGCCCGAGGUGUGGGCUUGAUCGCUUGUGGGGCGUGCAGGAGGCAGCCGACCAAUGAUUCUCUUAUCAUUCAUGUUUCUCUCUCCUCCCUUCCUCUCUGAAAUCAAUCAAUCAAUCAAUCAAUCAAUCGUCACUCCUGCCCUACCAGUAUCCGUGUGCUUCAUGGCUCCAAAGCACAGCUAGGAUGGCAGAGUAGUUGAACCUGGGCUGGUUCCACCUGACACAGGGGAAAACGAAGACAUCUGAUAGCAAGAAACGAAAACGCACAGCUGGCUGGCUCAUAGUUCCAAUCUUCAGCAUCAACUCUCAGGACCUGCUUUAUAAGAAAUCUCUGCCUCAAGAGGCCUGUCCAGCCUCUGUGAAUACUGCUUGUGAGCCUCCUGAUGCCAAAGAGACUGACUUCUGCCCAGCCAGCGUGGCUCAGUGGUUGAGCAUCAACCUAUGAGCCAGGAGGUCACAGUUUGAUUCCUGGUCAGGGCAUAUGCCCAGGAUGUGGGCUCAAUCCCCAAUGUG